RNAcentral lists this ribosomal RNA (401 nucleotides) under Fusobacterium necrophorum. RNAcentral's name for it is "bacterial SSU rRNA". It matches the Rfam family "Bacterial small subunit ribosomal RNA", at positions 96 to 527 of the family's 1533-position model. Lineage: Bacteria; Fusobacteriati; Fusobacteriota; Fusobacteriia; Fusobacteriales; Fusobacteriaceae. The record is from RNAcentral.
UGGCGGACGGGUGAGUAACGCGUGGGAAUCUGCCCUUAGGUACGGAAUAACUCAGGGAAACUUGAGCUAAUACCGUAUAAUGACUCCGGUCCAAAGAUUUAUCGCCUGAGGAUGAGCCCGCGUAGGAUUAGCUAGUUGGUGAGGUAAAGGCUCACCAAGGCGACGAUCCUUAGCUGGUCUGAGAGGAUGAUCAGCCACACUGGGACUGAGACACGGCCCAGACUCCUACGGGAGGCAGCAGUGGGGAAUAUUGCACAAUGGGCGGAAGCCUGAUGCAGCGACGCCGCGUGAGGGAUGACGGCCUUCGGGUUGUAAACCUCUUUCAGCAGGGAAGAAGCGAAAGUGACGGUACCUGCAGAAGAAGCACCGGCUAACUACGUGCCAGCAGCCGCGGUAAUACG